This is a non-coding RNA of Saccharopolyspora erythraea, 595 nucleotides long. It matches the Rfam family "Saccharopolyspora sRNA 389". The record is from Rfam. Lineage: Bacteria; Bacillati; Actinomycetota; Actinomycetes; Pseudonocardiales; Pseudonocardiaceae.
ACCAGGUUCGUGGUGGUGCGGUGCAGGAAGUCGGUGCGGGCACACCGGAUUUUGCGGUGCGCCCGUGCGACCUUGGUCUUGGCUUUGCGGCGGUUGUUCGAGCCCUUCUGCUUGCGGGCCAUUUGCCGCUGGUAGCGGGCGAGGUUGCGGGCCUUGCGGUCCAGAUGCUUCGGGUUGGCGAUCUUCUCGCCGGUCGACAGGACAGCAAAGUCCUUCACACCCAGGUCCACCCCGACCGCGCUGCCGGUCUCGGGCUGCGGUUCGGGGUCGUCGGUGUCCACGGCCAAGGUCACAUACCAGCGGCCAUCCGGCUCGCGGGACACGAUCACCAUCGUCGGAUUCAGCGUUUCGAGGGUUUCGUCGUCCCAGGACCACACGAACUCAAGCGGCGCGGUGUGCUUCGCCAGAGUCAGCUUGCCGCCGCGCAAGCGGAAAGCGCUGCGCGUGUAGUGCGCCGACUGGCGGCCGUUGCGGGGCUUGAAACGCGGGUAGCGCGCACGCCCGGCGAAGAAGUUCGCAUACGCGGUGUGCUGGUGCCGCAACGUUUGCUGCAACGGCACCGACGAAACCUCGGACAGGAACGCCAGCUCGUCGG